UGCUGCUGAAUGCUACGUUUUGUGAACUGUCCUGCACAGCCUGCCUGCACACCUUCAGGUGUCCUGUGGACGUGGCAUCAGGCUCCAGCCACGAGUCUCCAUGUGAACAGAAGCGAGCGCUGGGGGGUGCUCUGAGGCCUCCUUGCUGCUGCCCUGCUGGUCCUGGGAAGCAAGUCUCCUGGUGCACACAAGGCCAAGGUGGUCCACGUGUGACCUUGGCACUGUGCCCAGUGUACAGGACGCAUUUGCCCAGUCGUGUGGACAUGGAGUCAGCCCCAGAACUGCAGUAGAGCUCAGCUCUCGGACCCCUCCUCCUGUUGUGCUGAAGCAGUCAGUUGGCAGGAGCCUCCCCCAGUCCUGGCCUUGUGACAGUGCCCCUGUGGGUCUGAGUGCUCUGACCUGCCCCUCUCCCAGGGAGCUCUGUUCACAGGAAGUACCACAGUGGACCACAACCCUUGGCAGGAAGGACAUGGCCAGUGCUUCUAGGAGAGCAGUGGAAAGUUUCCAUUGGAAUGUUGGAUUUGUGCUUGCAAAAAAUUUUGCAAGACUUUUGGAAAACCUGUGUCCACCACUGUGGGGCCACAGCAGCCUCAGGCAGCAACUUCUCUGGUGAAAGUGGUGGGAUCCCAGUGCUACGUUUUGGUGCCCAUGGUGGAGUGUCAGCCACCUUCAGGAGGACCAUGUGACUCGGCAAACUUGUAUUUUCCAAGUGCCCCAAGGCUACAUGUUCCACAUCAUGCCUGGCAAAAGGUCCGUUCAGAUUGCAACACAGACCGAUUGGAUUUUCCUGUUCCAGGAGGAGGAGAAACAUGAUCACAGGCUGCACUUCACGAUGCUUCCAGAACCUUCCAUCGCUGAGCAUCCCCGCCCUUCCCAACCACAUCAUUUCCCGAGUCUGGGUUCUCUGCGUACAUUUCAACCAAAAUAAAUCUAGCAGUGAAUUGAACGCA
Molecule: long non-coding RNA, 950 nt
Filed under: Marmota marmota marmota (Alpine marmot)
Lineage: Eukaryota; Metazoa; Chordata; Mammalia; Rodentia; Sciuridae
Description: lncRNA (ENSMMMG00000011026.1)
Source: RNAcentral